AUAAGUAGGUCGAUAUCUAAGAGUUGAAAAAAAAAUAUAUAUAUAUAUAUAUAUAUAAACCAAAUAAUUCAUAUAGAAAUGGUAAAUGAUGAUACACAAAACACUUGCAAUAAAUAAAUUACUACUUCUCGAAGUUACAUGAUAAACCAAAUGAAGACAUUAACAAAGAUGACUCGAUGACAAACAUAUACGAAUAUAUAAUAACAAUAAUCAGCCCAGAGACAGAUGAAAAGGAUAGGACUGAAGAAAUCAUAAAACACCAAACUAUCAACACCAUCCAGCAAGAAAGGAAAAAACUUUAUGACACUUAACCUUCACAUCUCUUCUUCACCUGUCAAAAAUAUCAGGAAGAAUAAUUAUUAUUUAUCAUGAUCUUGGACCACCACAAUAAGAUUGAUGAAGC
Molecule: long non-coding RNA, 403 nt
Filed under: Olea europaea subsp. europaea
Lineage: Eukaryota; Viridiplantae; Streptophyta; Magnoliopsida; Lamiales; Oleaceae
Source: RNAcentral